CCGCACGCGCGCUACACUGACGGAGCCAGCAAGUACAACCUUGGUCGAGAGGCCCGGGUAAUCUCGUGAAACUCCGUCGUGCUGGGGAUAGAGCAUUGUAAUUUUUGCUCUUCAACGAGGAAUUCCUAGUAAGCGCAAGUCAUCAGCUUGCGUUGAUUACGU
Molecule: ribosomal RNA, 162 nt
Filed under: uncultured eukaryote
Lineage: Eukaryota
Description: partial 18S ribosomal RNA
Rfam family: Eukaryotic small subunit ribosomal RNA
Source: RNAcentral